This 1273-nucleotide ribosomal RNA is filed under the name Klebsiella pneumoniae. RNAcentral's name for it is "partial 23S ribosomal RNA". It matches the Rfam family "Bacterial large subunit ribosomal RNA", at positions 398 to 1676 of the family's 2925-position model. Lineage: Bacteria; Pseudomonadati; Pseudomonadota; Gammaproteobacteria; Enterobacterales; Enterobacteriaceae. The record is from RNAcentral.
UGUGAACUCGAAGAGUAGGGCGGGACACGUGGUAUCCUGUCUGAAUAUGGGGGGACCAUCCUCCAAGGCUAAAUACUCCUGACUGACCGAUAGUGAACCAGUACCGUGAGGGAAAGGCGAAAAGAACCCCGGCGAGGGGAGUGAAAAAGAACCUGAAACCGUGUACGUACAAGCAGUGGGAGCACCUUCGGGUGUGACUGCGUACCUUUUGUAUAAUGGGUCAGCGACUUAUAUUCUGUAGCAAGGUUAACCGUAUAGGGGAGCCGCAGGGAAACCGAGUCUUAACUGGGCGUUAAGUUGCAGGGUAUAGACCCGAAACCCGGUGAUCUAGCCAUGGGCAGGUUGAAGGUUGGGUAACACUAACUGGAGGACCGAACCGACUAAUGUUGAAAAAUUAGCGGAUGACUUGUGGCUGGGGGUGAAAGGCCAAUCAAACCGGGAGAUAGCUGGUUCUCCCCGAAAGCUAUUUAGGUAGCGCCUCGUGAACUCAUCUUCGGGGGUAGAGCACUGUUUCGGCUAGGGGGUCAUCCCGACUUACCAACCCGAUGCAAACUACGAAUACCGAAGAAUGUUAUCACGGGAGACACACGGCGGGUGCUAACGUCCGUCGUGAAGAGGGAAACAACCCAGACCGCCAGCUAAGGUCCCAAAGUCAUGGUUAAGUGGGAAACGAUGUGGGAAGGCACAGACAGCCAGGAUGUUGGCUUAGAAGCAGCCAUCAUUUAAAGAAAGCGUAAUAGCUCACUGGUCGAGUCGGCCUGCGCGGAAGAUGUAACGGGGCUAAACCAUGCACCGAAGCUGCGGCAGCGACACUAUGUGUUGUUGGGUAGGGGAGCGUUCUGUAAGCCUGCGAAGGUGUGCUGUGAGGCAUGCUGGAGGUAUCAGAAGUGCGAAUGCUGACAUAAGUAACGAUAAAGCGGGUGAAAAGCCCGCUCGCCGGAAGACCAAGGGUUCCUGUCCAACGUUAAUCGGGGCAGGGUGAGUCGACCCCUAAGGCGAGGCCGAAAGGCGUAGUCGAUGGGAAACAGGUUAAUAUUCCUGUACUUGGUGUUACUGCGAAGGGGGGACGGAGAAGGCUAUGUUAGCCGGGCGACGGUUGUCCCGGUUUAAGCAUGUAGGCUGGUUAUCCAGGCAAAUCCGGAUAAUCAAGGCUGAGGUGUGAUGACGAGGCACUACGGUGCUGAAGUAACAAAUGCCCUGCUUCCAGGAAAAGCCUCUAAGCAUCAGGUAACAUCAAAUCGUACCCCAAACCGACACAGGUGGUCAGGUAGAG